AUAAAGAGCUCUCGAAACGAAGUGAACAGUCGUUUUCGGAAGUAAACACCAAAGGUAUCAUCAUGAAGACUGCCUGCCUAGUUGCCCUCCUGAUUACUUGCGUUGUCAUGGUUACCUUGCCAGUAACUGAAGCCCAACGUCACCGUGACUGCCAUUGCAGUAGAGGACCGUGUCGUCACGGAACGAGAAACACCGGUCCGUGUCCACACAACCGUCGACAGAUGUAUUGCUGUAGAAAUUGAGGACCACCAAAGCACACCAGACCACAUUGAAAUUCAAAUGUUCUGGUUAGGUUGAAUCAAUAAAAUAGCGCAAUGUU
Molecule: long non-coding RNA, 319 nt
Organism: Dreissena polymorpha
Lineage: Eukaryota; Metazoa; Mollusca; Bivalvia; Myida; Dreissenidae
Exons: 3
Source: RefSeq, a predicted model, not a curated record